UGUGAACUCGAAGAGUAGGGCGGGACACGUGGUAUCCUGUCUGAAUAUGGGGGGACCAUCCUCCAAGGCUAAAUACUCCUGACUGACCGAUAGUGAACCAGUACCGUGAGGGAAAGGCGAAAAGAACCCCGGCGAGGGGAGUGAAAAAGAACCUGAAACCGUGUACGUACAAGCAGUGGGAGCCUCUUUUAUGGGGUGACUGCGUACCUUUUGUAUAAUGGGUCAGCGACUUAUAUUCUGUAGCAAGGUUAACCGUAUAGGGGAGCCGAAGGGAAACCGAGUCUUAACUGGGCGUUAAGUUGCAGGGUAUAGACCCGAAACCCGGUGAUCUAGCCAUGGGCAGGUUGAAGGUUGGGUAACACUAACUGGAGGACCGAACCGACUAAUGUUGAAAAAUUAGCGGAUGACUUGUGGCUGGGGGUGAAAGGCCAAUCAAACCGGGAGAUAGCUGGUUCUCCCCGAAAGCUAUUUAGGUAGCGCCUCGUGAACUCAUCUUCGGGGGUAGAGCACUGUUUCGGCUAGGGGGCCAUCCCGGCUUACCAACCCGAUGCAAACUACGAAUACCGAAGAAUGUUAUCACGGGAGACACACGGCGGGUGCUAACGUCCGUCGUGAAGAGGGAAACAACCCAGACCGCCAGCUAAGGUCCCAAAGUCAUGGUUAAGUGGGAAACGAUGUGGGAAGGCACAGACAGCCAGGAUGUUGGCUUAGAAGCAGCCAUCAUUUAAAGAAAGCGUAAUAGCUCACUGGUCGAGUCGGCCUGCGCGGAAGAUGUAACGGGGCUAAACCAUGCACCGAAGCUGCGGCAGCGACGCUUAUGCGUUGUUGGGUAGGGGAGCGUUCUGUAAGCCGUUGAAGGUGUCCUGUGAGGGGUGCUGGAGGUAUCAGAAGUGCGAAUGCUGACAUAAGUAACGAUAAAGCGGGUGAAAAGCCCGCUCGCCGGAAGACCAAGGGUUCCUGUCCAACGUUAAUCGGGGCAGGGUGAGUCGACCCCUAAGGCGAGGCCGAAAGGCGUAGUCGAUGGGAAACAGGUUAAUAUUCCUGUACUUGGUGUUACUGCGAAGGGGGGACGGAGAAGGCUAUGUUAGCCGGGCGACGGUUGUCCCGGUUUAAGCAUGUAGGCGGAGGUUCCAGGUAAAUCCGGUUCCUUGUUAACGCUGAGGUGUGAUGACGAGGCACUACGGUGCUGAAGUAACAAAUGCCCUGCUUCCAGGAAAAGCCUCUAAGCAUCAGGUAACAUCAAAUCGUACCCCAAACCGACACAGGUGGUCAGGUAGAGAAUACCAAGGCGCUUGAGAGAACUCGGGUGAAGGAACUAGGCAAAAUGGUGCCGUAACUUCGGGAGAAGGCACGCUGAUAUGUAGGUGAAGCCCCUGCGGGUGGAGCUGAAAUCAGUCGAAGAUACCAGCUGGCUGCAACUGUUUAUUAAAAACACAGCACUGUGCAAACACGAAAGUGGACGUAUACGGUGUGACGCCUGCCCGGUGCCGGAAGGUUAAUUGAUGGGGUUAGCGGUAACGCGAAGCUCUUGAUCGAAGCCCCGGUAAACGGCGGCCGUAACUAUAACGGUCCUAAGGUAGCGAAAUUCCUUGUCGGGUAAGUUCCGACCUGCACGAAUGGCGUAAUGAUGGCCAGGCUGUCUCCACCCGAGACUCAGUGAAAUUGAACUCGCUGUGAAGAUGCAGUGUACCCGCGGCAAGACGGAAAGACCCCGUGAACCUUUACUAUAGCUUGACACUGAACACUGGUCCUUGAUGUGUAGGAUAGGUGGGAGGCUUUGAAGCGUGGACGCCAGUCUGCGUGGAGCCAACCUUGAAAUACCACCCUUUAAUGGCUGGUGUUCUAACGUAGACCCGUGAUCCGGGUUGCGGACAGUGUCUGGUGGGUAGUUUGACUGGGGCGGUCUCCUCCCAAAGAGUAACGGAGGAGCACGAAGGUUAGCUAAUCCUGGUCGGACAUCAGGAGGUUAGUGCAAUGGCAUAAGCUAGCUUGACUGCGAGAGUGACGGCUCGAGCAGGUGCGAAAGCAGGUCAUAGUGAUCCGGUGGUUCUGAAUGGAAGGGCCAUCGCUCAACGGAUAAAAGGUACUCCGGGGAUAACAGGCUGAUACCGCCCAAGAGUUCAUAUCGACGGCGGUGUUUGGCACCUCGAUGUCGGCUCAUCACAUCCUGGGGCUGAAGUAGGUCCCAAGGGUAUGGCUGUUCGCCAUUUAAAGUGGUACGCGAGCUGGGUUUAGAACGUCGUGAGACAGUUCGGUCCCUAUCUGCCGUGGGCGCUGGAGAAUUGAGGGGGGCUGCUCCUAGUACGAGAGGACCGGAGUGGACGCAUCACUGGUGUUCGGGUUGUCAUGCCAAUGGCACUGCCCGGUAGCUAAAUGCGGAAGAGAUAAGUGCUGAAAGCAUCUAAGCACGAAACUUGCCCCGAGAUGAGUUCUCCCUGAGACUUUAAGUCUCCUGAAGGAACGUUGAAGACUACGACGUUGAUAGGUCGGGUGUGUAAGCGCAGCGAUGCGUUGAGCUAACCGAUACUAAUGAACCGUGAGGCUUAACCUUACAACGCCGAAGGUGUUU
RNAcentral lists this ribosomal RNA (2569 nucleotides) under Enterobacter ludwigii. Its description in RNAcentral is "partial 23S ribosomal RNA". It matches the Rfam family "Bacterial large subunit ribosomal RNA", at positions 398 to 2925 of the family's 2925-position model. Lineage: Bacteria; Pseudomonadati; Pseudomonadota; Gammaproteobacteria; Enterobacterales; Enterobacteriaceae. The record is from RNAcentral.